Molecule: ribosomal RNA, 253 nt
Filed under: uncultured bacterium
Lineage: Bacteria
Description: partial 16S ribosomal RNA
Rfam family: Bacterial small subunit ribosomal RNA
Source: RNAcentral
AACGUAGGAGCCUAGCGUUAUCCGAAUUCACUGGGCGUAAAGCGCGUGCAGGCGGUUCGGUAAGUUGGAUGUGAAAUCUCCUGGCUCAACUGGGAGAGGACGUUCAAGACUGUCGGACUAGAGGACGGUAGAGGAGUGUGGAAUUCCUGGUGUAGCGGUGAAAUGCGUAGAUAUCAGGAGGAACACCGGUGGCGAAGGCGCACAUCUGGCCCGAUACUGACGCUGAAGCGCGAAAGCUAGGGGAGCAAACGGG